CAGUGAUAAAUGCUUGUUUUAAGCUUCUGGGUUUUGGGGUGGUGUGUUAGGCAGCCUCACUGGGGCAGUGGCUGACGGGUACAAUCAGAUGAACCCUGAGGCCCCUGGAAGCUUCGAGUGUCUAUGAGGGACCUUUCCCGGCCUUUCAGCCAAAUUGGAAGACCCACUUCUCUGGACUGGAUGCUGCAUUGAAUUGAGCAAAGGAACUGAGUGCCCGGGGAGCUCAAAGGGAAGCAGCCCAGCCUUCCUUCUGGGGCAGAGCAGUGGUGGGGACCUGUUUCCAGCUGCUUGUGCCCCCCACUUCAUGGAGGAGGGACCAGGGAUCCUCAGAGGAGAGGAAUCGGCUCCCAGACACCUGCCACUCGUGAAUGCAUCUGAUAAACUCACUCACACUGAGGCCUUGGGGACUGAGAAUCCCCAGGACUCCCUAGGGAAGGAGGUCCCAGCCUGGCCUCCCAAGACCGUGCUUGCCCAAUUCCAGGACUUCCUCACAUGGCUCCUACCUCCAGCACAGAAGCGGCACUAAACCAGGUGGUCAAUCAGGGAGCACCACCGAGGUUCUGAAUGGUCCAG
This 573-nucleotide long non-coding RNA is filed under the name Homo sapiens (human). RNAcentral describes it as "novel transcript". The record is from RNAcentral. Lineage: Eukaryota; Metazoa; Chordata; Mammalia; Primates; Hominidae.